GACGGAGCUCGCGGACCGCUCCGCCUUCUCAAAACCGGAAUCAUUCUCUGAAGCCACGCUCCGCGUGCGCAAGAACUUCUCCUACUUCCGCGUCAACUACUACGCCGUCGUUUCGUUGAUCCUUGCGAUCUCGCUCCUCACCAAUCCCUUCUCCCUUGUCCUCCUCGCCGGCCUCCUCGUCUCCUGGACCUUCCUCUACCUCUUCCGCCCCUCCGACCAGCCUCUCGUCAUCCUUGGCCGAACCUUCUCCGAUUUCGAAACCCUAGCUAUCCUCUCCGCGCUCACCGUCUUCGUCGUCUUCCUCACUAGCGUCGGCUCCGUCCUCAUUUCCGCUCUCAUGCUCGGCGUCGCCGCCGUUUGCCUUCACGGUGCAUUCCGCGUGCCUGAGGAUC
RNAcentral lists this long non-coding RNA (392 nucleotides) under Phaseolus vulgaris (common bean). RNAcentral describes it as "long non-coding RNA (PVUL_LNC000610)". Lineage: Eukaryota; Viridiplantae; Streptophyta; Magnoliopsida; Fabales; Fabaceae. The record is from RNAcentral.